UUCUUUUAGAGAGGAAUACAAGCAGGCUCUGCUCAAUGAUAAAUUAAAUAGCUACAUAAUUUGUACUACGGCAGCAUUGUCACUUGUCCAUUAGAUGUGGUCUUGUAUGAAAGAAUAAAUAAUCAGUUUCUCCAUUUGUAACAAUUUCUUAAUUUAAAUUUUUGGUUAAAAUACCAAAAUAUUUUAUAGGGACAAGAAGACCCUAUAAAGCUUUUAAUACCAAUUAUAAAAUUUAUUAUAUUUAAUUUUUAAUUGGGUUAAUUAUUUAUGAAGGGAAUAUAAGUCCCAAUAUAUUAUUUUGAGAAGGAUCCUAUAAUAUAGAAUAUUGAAUAAGUUACUUUAGGGAUAACAGUAUAAUUUUUAUUUAUAAGUUCAAAUCUACAAUAAAGAUUGUAACCUCGAUGUUGAAUUAAUUUUAUUAUAUGGAGAAGGAUCUAUAUUAUAAUUUGACUG
This 453-nucleotide ribosomal RNA is filed under the name Rakaia dorothea. RNAcentral describes it as "partial 16S ribosomal RNA". Lineage: Eukaryota; Metazoa; Arthropoda; Arachnida; Opiliones; Pettalidae. The record is from RNAcentral.